GAUGAAGAACGUAGCGAAAUGUGAUAAGUAGUGUGAAUUGCAGAAUUCAGUGAAUCAUCGAAUCUUUGAACGCACAUUGCGCCCCUUGGUAUUCCAUGGGGCAUGCCUGUUCGAGCGUCAUUUGUACCUUCAAGCUCUGCUUGGUGUUGGGUGUUUGUCUCGCCUCUGCGUGUAGACUCGCCUCAAAACAAUUGGCAGCCGGCGUAUUGAUUUCGGAGCGCAGUACAUCUCGCGCUUUGCACUCAUAACGACGACGUCCAAAAGUACAUUUUUACACUCUUGACCUCGGAUCAGGAAGGGAUACCCGCUGAACUUAAGCAUAUCAAUAAGCGGAGGA
Molecule: unclassified non-coding RNA, 337 nt
Filed under: soil metagenome
Description: partial contains 5.8S ribosomal RNA, internal transcribed spacer 2, and large subunit ribosomal RNA
Rfam family: 5.8S ribosomal RNA (bases 1-120)
Source: RNAcentral